UGGGGAAUUUUGGACAAUGGGCGAAAGCCUGAUCCAGCAAUGCCGCGUGUGUGAAGAAGGCCUUCGGGUUGUAAAGCACUUUUGUCCGGAAAGAAAUCCUUGGCUCUAAUACAGUCGGGGGAUGACGGUACCGGAAGAAUAAGCACCGGCUAACUACGUGCCAGCAGCCGCGGUAAUACAUAGGGUGCAAGCGUUAAUCGGAAUUACUGGGCGUAAAGCGUGCGCAGGCGGUUUGCUAAGACCGAUGUGAAAUCCCGGGCUCAACCUGGGAACUGCAUUGGUGACUGGCAGGCUAGAGUAUGGCAGAGGGGGGUAGAAUUCCACGUGUAGCAGUGAAAUGCGUAGAGAUGUGGAGGAAUACCGAUGGCGAAGGCAGCCCCCUGGGCCAAUACUGACGCUCAUGCACGAAAGCGUGGGGAGCAAACAGGAUUAGAUACCCUGGUAGUCCACGCCCUAAAACGAUGUCAACUAGUUGUUGGGGAUUCAUUUCCUUAGUAACGUAGCUAACGCGUGAAGUUGACCGCCUGGGGAGUACGGUCGCAAGAUUAAAACUUAAAUGAAUUGACGGGGUCAUAGCUGUUUCCU
This 585-nucleotide ribosomal RNA is filed under the name uncultured bacterium. Its description in RNAcentral is "partial 16S ribosomal RNA". It matches the Rfam family "Bacterial small subunit ribosomal RNA", at positions 355 to 1375 of the family's 1533-position model. The record is from RNAcentral.